RNAcentral lists this ribosomal RNA (499 nucleotides) under Pseudomonas sp. CL2.83. RNAcentral's name for it is "bacterial SSU rRNA". It matches the Rfam family "Bacterial small subunit ribosomal RNA", at positions 1 to 500 of the family's 1533-position model. Lineage: Bacteria; Pseudomonadati; Pseudomonadota; Gammaproteobacteria; Pseudomonadales; Pseudomonadaceae. The record is from RNAcentral.
UAGAGUUGAUCCAUGGCUCAGAUUGAACGCUGGCGGCAGGCCUAACACAUGCAAGUCGAGCGGUAGAGAGGUGCUUGCACCUCUUGAGAGCGGCGGACGGGUGAGUAAUGCCUAGGAAUCUGCCUGGUAGUGGGGGAUAACGCUCGGAAACGGACGCUAAUACCGCAUACGUCCUACGGGAGAAAGCAGGGGACCUUCGGGCCUUGCGCUAUCAGAUGAGCCUAGGUCGGAUUAGCUAGUUGGUGAGGUAAUGGCUCACCAAGGCGACGAUCCGUAACUGGUCUGAGAGGAUGAUCAGUCACACUGGAACUGAGACACGGUCCAGACUCCUACGGGAGGCAGCAGUGGGGAAUAUUGGACAAUGGGCGAAAGCCUGAUCCAGCCAUGCCGCGUGUGUGAAGAAGGUCUUCGGAUUGUAAAGCACUUUAAGUUGGGAGGAAGGGCAGUAACCUAAUACGUUGCUGUCCUUGACGUUACCGACAGAAUAAGCACCGGCUAA